UACGAAGGGGGCUAGCGUUGCUCGGAAUCACUGGGCGUAAAGGGUGCGUAGGCGGGUCUUUAAGUCAGGGGUGAAAUCCUGGAGCUCAACUCCAGAACUGCCUUUGAUACUGAAGAUCUUGAGUUCGGGAGAGGUGAGUGGAACUGCGAGUGUAGAGGUGAAAUUCGUAGAUAUUCGCAAGAACACCAGUGGCGAAGGCGGCUCGCUGGAACGGUACUGACGCUGAGGCGCGAAAGCGUGGGGAGCGAACAGG
Molecule: ribosomal RNA, 253 nt
Filed under: uncultured bacterium
Lineage: Bacteria
Description: partial 16S ribosomal RNA
Rfam family: Bacterial small subunit ribosomal RNA
Source: RNAcentral